RNAcentral lists this microRNA precursor (77 nucleotides) under Myotis davidii. Its description in RNAcentral is "mir-9193 microRNA precursor family". It matches the Rfam family "mir-9193 microRNA precursor family". The record is from Rfam by way of RNAcentral. Lineage: Eukaryota; Metazoa; Chordata; Mammalia; Chiroptera; Vespertilionidae.
UGUGGGGAGGGGCACGCCUCCCUCAGCCUGGAUUGUGAGAGGGCACAGGCCAGGCUGAGGGACCCCACUGGUGCAUA